This 427-nucleotide ribosomal RNA is filed under the name uncultured bacterium. RNAcentral describes it as "bacterial SSU rRNA". It matches the Rfam family "Bacterial small subunit ribosomal RNA", at positions 355 to 774 of the family's 1533-position model. The record is from RNAcentral.
UAGGGAAUUUUGGACAAUGGGCGCAAGCCUGAUCCAGCCAUGCCGCGUGCAGGAAGAAGGCCUUCGGGUUGUAAACUGCUUUUGUACGGAGCGAAAAGCCCCUGGCGAAUAACCGGGGGUCAUGACGGUACCGUAAGAAUAAGCACCGGCUAACUACGUGCCAGCAGCCGCGGUAAUACGUAGGGUGCAAGCGUUAAUCGGAAUUACUGGGCGUAAAGCGUGCGCAGGCGGUUUUGUAAGACAGAGGUGAAAUCCCCGGGCUCAACCUGGGAACUGCCUUUGUGACUGCAAAGCUGGAGUGCGGCAGAGGGGGAUGGAAUUCCGCGUGUAGCAGUGAAAUGCGUAGAUAUGCGGAGGAACACCGAUGGCGAAGGCAAUCCCCUGGGCCUGCACUGACGCUCAUGCACGAAAGCGUGGGGAGCAAACA